RNAcentral lists this ribosomal RNA (3042 nucleotides) under human gut metagenome. RNAcentral's name for it is "bacterial LSU rRNA". It matches the Rfam family "Bacterial large subunit ribosomal RNA". The record is from RNAcentral.
UUAAGGGCGUACGGUGGAUGCCUUGGCGAUAUCAGCCGAAGAAGGACGCGGUAAGCUGCGAUAAGCUACGGAGAGGUGCAAGCAACCUUUGACCCGUAGAUUUCCGAAUGGGGGAACCCGGCAGUGGUUAUGCACUGUCACCCAUACCUUUGAGUAUGAGGAGGGCACCUGGGGAACUGAAACAUCUAAUUACCCAGAGGAAAAGUAAUCAAACGAGAUUUUCUUAGUAGCGGCGAGCGAACGGGAAAGAGGCCAAACCGGAGCGGGCAACCGCACCGGGGUUGAGGACAGUCAUCAAGUGUAAAUGAGGUAGAAGAAUCGAGUUGGAAAGCUCAGCCGAAGAAGGUGAAAGCCCUGUAAUCGAAACCUUGCAUACACGGGACUGUAUCCAGAGUACCACGAGACACGUGAAACCUUGUGGGAAGCAGGGGGGACCACCCUCCAAGCCAAAAUACUGAUAUCGACCGAUAGCGCAUAGUACCGUGAGGGAAAGGUGAAAAGAACCCCUGGCGGGGAGUGAAAGAGAACCUGAAACCGUAUGUCUACAAACAGUCGAAGUCUGUAUAUAUAUCAGGACGACGGCGUGCCUAUUGAAGAAUGAACCGACGAGUUACUGUUGCUAGCGAGGUUAAGUGGAAAACACGGAGCCGCAGCGAAAGCGAGUCUGAACAGGGCGUUCAGUUAGUAAUAGUAGACCCGAAACCGUAGUGAUCUAUCCAUGGCCAGGUUGAAGCACAGGUAAAAUUGUGUGGAGGACCGAACUCGUGAGCGUUGAAAAGCUUUGGGAUGAGUUGUGGAUAGGGGUGAAAUGCCAAUCGAACACGGAGAUAGCUGGUUCUCCCCGAAAUAGCUUUAGGGCUAGCCUCGAGGUUGAGAGUAUAGGCGGUAGAGCACUGAUCGGGCUAGGGGCCAUACCGGUUACCGAACCUAGUCAAACUACGAAUGGCUAUACUUAUACUCGGGAGUCAGACAGUGAAUGAUAAGGUCCAUUGUCAAGAGGGAAACAGCCCAGAACACCGACUAAGGUCCCAAAUGUUACACUAAGUGGCGAAGGAUGUGGAAUUUCCAAAACAACCAGGAUGUUGGCUUAGAAGCAGCCACCAUUUAAAGAGUGCGUAAUAGCUCACUGGUCGAGAGACUCUGCGCCGAAAAUGUCCGGGGCUAAAGUGUAAAACCGAAGUCGUGUCAUAUGCAGCAAUGUAUAUGGGUAGGGGAGCGUUCUCAUUGGGUUGAAGCAGUACCGUAAGGAGUUGUGGACUGAUGAGAAGUGAGAAUGUCGGUAUGAGUAGCGAAAAGAAUGGUGAGAAUCCAUUCCACCGAAAGCCUAAGGGUUCCUGAGCAACGAUCGUCGUCUCAGGGUAAGUCGGGACCUAAGCCGAGGCGGAAAAGCGUAGGCGAUGGACAACAGGUUGAAAUUCCUGUACCGGUGUGAAUCGUUUGAUCGAUGGAGUGACACAGUAAGGUAGGUCAGCACGCGAUUGGAAGUGCGUGUUUAAGCAGGUAGGUUGAGCUAUAGGCAAAUCCGUAGCUCUAAAAGCUGAGAUGUGAUGACGAGUUACUAGCGAUAGUAACGAAGUGAUUGAUCCUACACUGUCGAGAAAAGCUUCUAGGUAGAGACACAUCGCCCGUACCAAAACCGACACAGGUAGGCGGGGAGAGAAUCCUAAGGUGCGCGGGAAAACCCUCGUUAAGGAACUCGGCAAAAUGCCUCCGUAACUUCGGGAAAAGGAGGACUCAUGUAGUGUGAAGUGCAGCAACGCAUGGAGCAUGAAUGAGUGGCACAAGAGAGGCGCAAGCGACUGUUUACCACAAACACAGGUGCCUGCUAAAGCGAAAGCUGAUGUAUAGGUGCUGACACCUGCCCGGUGCUGGAAGGUUAAGAGGAGGGGUUAGACUUCGGUCGAAGCUCUGAAUUGAAGCCCCAGUAAACGGCGGCCGUAACUAUAACGGUCCUAAGGUAGCGAAAUUCCUUGUCGGGUAAGUUCCGACCCGCACGAAAGGUGUAACGACUUGCGCACUGAUCUCAACGAGGGACCCGGUGAAGGAUUGAAGAACCUACCUGUGGGAAGAUGCAGGUUACCCGCGUAACUUGGACAGAAAGCAGCCCCUGAAGAGUGGACUGCAGGUUGCAAAGCGAAAGCUGCUGAACCUAAGCUCUGAAUUGAACUUACGGUUAAGGUGAAUCCUGGGGUAACAGGAAAGGGUACUUCGGUGUGGAAGUCCUGUGAAGAGAGGUUACGCUAUGGAGACUGCUCCCAGUUGUUAGGUGGGAGACGUAGAACCUAGGACGCCAGUUUUAGGGGAGUCGUUGUUGGGAUACCACCCUUUCAUUAAUUGAUUUCUAACGGGCCGAGUAACGACCGGCCGGACAGUCUUAGGCGGGCAGUUUGACUGGGGCGGUCGCCUCCUAAAGAGUAACGGAGGCGCCCAAAGGUUCCCUCAGAGCGGACGGAAAUCGCUCGAAGAGUGUAAAGGCAGAAGGGAGCUUGACUGCGAGACGGACAGGUCGAGCAGGGACGAAAGUCGGGCUUAGUGAUCCGGUGGUGCCGAGUGGAAGGGCCAUCGCUCAACGGAUAAAAGCUACCCUGGGGAUAACAGGCUAAUCUCUCCCAAGAGUCCAUAUCGACGGGGAGGUUUGGCACCUCGAUGUCGGCUCAUCACAUCCUGGGGCUGAAGUAGGUCCCAAGGGUUCGGCUGUUCGCCGAUUAAAGUGGUACGUGAGCUGGGUUCAGAACGUCGUGAGACAGUUCGGUCCCUAUCCAUCGCGGGCGCAAGAAACUUGAAGGGGGCUGCUCCUAGUACGAGAGGACCGGAGUGGACGAACCGCUGGUGUACCAAUUAUCCUGCCAAGGGUACAGUUGGGUAGCUACGUUCGGGACGGAUAAACGCUGAAAGCAUCUAAGCGUGAAACCAGCCUUGAGAUGAGGUUUCUCAUAGCAUAAGCUAGUAAGAUCCCAUGUAGACGACAUGGUUGAUAGGCCAGGUGUGGAAGAGCCGUGAGGUUUGGAGCUGACUGGUACUAAUAGAUCGAGGGCUUUACUU